This 564-nucleotide ribosomal RNA is filed under the name Triticum aestivum (bread wheat). RNAcentral describes it as "partial small subunit ribosomal RNA". Lineage: Eukaryota; Viridiplantae; Streptophyta; Magnoliopsida; Poales; Poaceae. The record is from RNAcentral.
AUGGAGUUUUGCUCUUUGUCUCAGCUUCGCCAGGGUACCACCAUCUGGCGCAUUCGUGUUUAUGUCUCUAGGUUGUGGCAGUAUUGUGGUGGAACUGACCACGGCCCUAUCAAGCAUACAGAUAUGGUCCUUUUGGAUGCACAGGGCAAUCACAUGUACGCUGAGGUCCCAGAGAAGAAUGUUGAUAGCUUCAUCGAUCGUAUCGAAGAGGGGAAGAUAUAUGACAUCCGAAAGUUCCUGGUGUUCCCAAGAAAAUACGUUUUUAGACCGGUGGAGGGUCAUUCAAUGAUAAAGUUUACGAAGCGCACUGAGCUUGUGGAGAGGACUGGAAUGGAGGCGGAGUUCCCCUUCUGUACGUAUGCGCUUACUCCGAUAGCUCACCUCCCCAGGCCAGCAGACAUGCCUGAGCGCUUUAUAGAUGUCAUUGGAUUGGUUACUGGAAUUUCUGAAGUUGUUCAGUAUGUUAGUGCAAGCAGGACUGAGCCUUCUACUAAACGAGUUAUUCAUUUGAAAGAUCUCACGGGUCAUCAGAUCACUGUCAUACUGUGGGAGAAGCAGCCCUGA